Molecule: microRNA, 21 nt
Filed under: Callorhinchus milii (elephant shark)
Lineage: Eukaryota; Metazoa; Chordata; Chondrichthyes; Chimaeriformes; Callorhinchidae
Description: eshark_NOVEL_267
Source: RNAcentral
CUUAUAUGACAGUACUUCCUC